CCAAGAUAAAGGUACAUAGCCAAACUCCCGAAACUAGGUAAUAUAGAUUCAUGAGCUCUAAACUCAAUACAUAACGAGUAUCAAAAAGUACAUUACUAUAUGAAAGUAAUACAACAGUAUGAAAAUAAAGGAAGAGGACUCCAAGGGUUUGGGCAUCCAUACACCACUACCUUGAAUUCUCUCGAACAGUCCAAAGCUAACUCUCGAGGCCCGCUACCUCCAACUCCCACAUCUGUUGUCAUGACCUAAAACCAAAUCGUUGUGAUUGCGCCUAUCGUGGUACCAGGAAAGACAACUACUCUACCAUUUCAACAUAACAAUAGCUUUGAAAAACACCGAAGUAGUUAAAUUUAAGGAAAACCCCUUUAAAAACAGAAUAAAACUCGCAACUCAAUACACAUCUCUCCCAAAAUUAGUUGUCACCAAGUACAUGAGCAUCUAUAUAGAGAUAUAGUCUAAUACAACAUCUAGGGAAUAAGAACCGAAACAUAAAUGAAGAUAAGGAAGGAGAGUCAUGGUCUGCAAACACCAUGCAGCUACCUUGAUAAUCUCCGAAGAUCUUGACUCCACAACUCAGCAUCUGCCGUGAGCGGAAGCACCUGAAUCUGCACACGAGGUGUAGGGUGUAGCGUGAGUACAAUUAACUCAAUAAGUAAUAAAUAUAACCUUUUGACUGAAAGUAGUGACGAACUCAAUCGGUACAGCUCAAUAAAGAAAUAACAGUGCAGAAACAUAGGCAUGCUUUCAAGUUCAAUAGUUAAACUCAAUACAGUAGGAUAGAUCAAUUCUAAAUGAUAUGAAGAAUAUAACUUCUCUACUUCUACAUGCCAAUGCACAUGUUGUAUGUGAUGCACGACGCUAAAAGCCUCGUGUGCUCAUACUUUCAAAAUUCUCAAUCACUCAGUACUAUAUAUGGUCAAUUUGACCCAAGGAAGAUCCAUCCCGAAAUAUAUAGAUCAACUGACCAUUAGUCACUCAUUACUAGGUAGUGCCAAUCCAUCUCGUGGGGAAGAUCCCUCCCCAAGUAUAAAUGUUUCGGACAAGAUCCAUAUCUAAGGAAGAUCCAUCUCUCAAUAUAAAUCAAUCGCGCUCACUAGGGUGUGUGGACACUUCGGAGGGGCUCCUUCAGCCCAAUUGCUAUCAUAAAUAAGUAAAACCCGUUGUGGUGUGCAACCCGAUCCUAUAAAUGUCACUCAUAAUUAGACCCUCGGCCUCACUCAGCCAUCAAUUUCUCCAGUCUCUCUCUCACGGGCUCACAAUAUUGUAAAACUAGCCUGAUAAUGAUGAUAUGAUGUAUCAAUAAAUAAUAAUAGGGACUGAGAUAUGAUAUGUAGUGGAUGAAUAUGACUGAGUACGAAAUUUCAAUGAAAUCAAUAAGUCAAUAGAAAGAAACGACCACUAUGGGUCCCAACAGGACCAGCAUAUCGCCAAAAUAUGAUCUCUAGCAUGAUUGACAGCUCAAUUACUUUAUCACAUGAUGAAAACACGGAUAUAACCAAUAUAAAUCCACUAUACAGUGCCAUGGAAUCGACCAGGUAACAAUUCUCAUAGUGUAUGCCCGCACGCCCGUUACUUGGCAUGUGCGUUUUCGCGCCCCCUUUUUCCUCACGGAGUCCGGGUUUCGACAUUCAUUGGGACUAACUCAUUUACUUUUGGGAGUUGGGUACGGAAUUUGAAGAGUCACCACCUAAUGGAUUUAAGGUGCGUUAGGCCACCUAACGCAAGUAACUCAUAAAACCGGUUUGCAUUAUCAGAGACUUGGGUAAGGGCUCGAAAUAACCUUGAGGGAAAGGUGUUAGGCACCCCUCGCAGUCCACAAUGGUUGGUCCCGGACAAACUCAAAUUAUGUGAAUUAGUCUUAUAAACAAAUAAAGCAAAUUAGACAAUUUGGUAUUUCAUUUAAAAAAAAAGGUAAAAGGGGUCCUAGGUUUUUAGCCGACAAAAUCACUUCUGUACAAUGCUUGGUAAUCGUCCCAAAGUUGGGUUGCUACACAUAGCAUUAGCGCACAGGUCAUCAUAUCCUUUACUACCCGUUACCCUCCCCUUAGUGGUUGUAUAACCGAUGCUAAUUAAACGUACUCUAUGUGUGCAUUACUUGUCACUUCCUUGUGGCCCUGGAGGUGUUUAAGACCUCUAAUUAAGGCAGUUCUAGACUCUCCUAAGGUGUUUAAAAGGAGAAAAUCUAGGAGACAAGCAAAUACAAAUAGAACAUUCACAUAAAUAGGCAAUUAAAGCUCACUUUUACCUCCUCACACAAGCAGACAAUAACACGUCUAAAACAACAAGAUUUCAGAUAUUUCAAAAGGUCCUAGAGCAAGAUAUCUAGGUGAGUAAAUAGAAUGUAUGCAGCAUCGUGUUAAAGUGAGGCAAUAGAGACCUAAUCAGUUUUCCUACUAAUUUUAUAGCUUGCGGAAUCUGGCCAAUUCACAAAUAACAAAAGCGUAGUUUUACAGUUUGCGGGAUUUCAAUAGCCCUAUAGGCUUGACUAGGCAUGUAUCAAUGAUGUCCUAUGAACAUAGUAUCUAGUUAUUAAUCAGGAGUGCAGUAAACCAAUAAACAAUUUAAAGCAGGUAGUUUAGAUCCUAUAGGCAUGUUGUCUAGACUUGUAGACACUGGUAGCUAAAUGCAAAAAUUGGUUUUAAAAUCCUAUAGGCAUGGCAUCUAAAUGCAGCAAUUAGUUUUAAAACCUUAUUAACAUGCAGAAAACUGAUUGAAACUUUGUCGGCAUGUAGAGAUUGAUUUUUAAACUUACAGGCAUGGUGUCUAAAAUGCAAGAUAUAUUUUAAACCAUAUAGGCAUGGUAUCUAGAAUGCAGGACUGAUUCAUAGACAUGGUACCUAAAUGUACAUAAGCAAACAUCGCGAUAACCUAUAAGCCUAGUAUCUAAAUAACAGACAUUGUAAUAACCUACAUGCAUGGUAUCUAAAUAAUAGACAUUGCAAUAACCUAUAGGCAUGGUUUCUAAGUAAAACAAUAUUGCAAUACCUAUGGACAUGGUAUAUGAUGCAAGUAAAUAAUCCGAAGAACAUGAUCUCUAAUGCAAGCAAAUAGUCAUAAUAAACCUAAGGACAUGAUUUCUACCUAGUUUCCCCACAAAAAUUAUAUAAGAAUCCCUCCCUUUUUACUAAUUUCUCCAAUAUCUGUUUACAAGAAUUAUUACUACAGACCAUAUGAAUUAUAGAAGGAACAAACUAUGCUAUAUGGAACCUGAAUAGAGGCCCAAAGUGAACCUGGAAGUUCCAGGCCUUCAAACAGUCCAAAAAUGCCAUAAUUUCAUAGUGCACCCACUAGUAUCCUGGUGUGUCAAAGUUUUCAAAGGGCCUCAGGGACCCGGGGCAAUGCUCAUACUAGAAAACUUUCAAAGCAACCCUUUGUGAGUAAGUUUUGGAAAGCAAGCCCCAGUGUGUCAAAGUUCAGAGGAGUCUCAUGAACUCCUAGGCAAUGCUCACACUGGAGGGGCAAGACCCUAAGGGUUCUAGGAAUAGGGGUUGAAAAUAGAAGAAAAUAGUUUCAGAUUCUUAGGAAGUAAUGAGCAAGCAGGGUCAUUCAAUCAUUGUAACACAAACAAAGGUUCCAGCAAUCAAAUAGUAUACAGAAAUAGGAUCCCUCAAAGUUUCAAUUUAGUUUACUAGUUGAUACUAAGUGAGAAGACACUAAACAAUGGCAUGGCAUACUGGGAUCACUCAGACAGUCAUAUUCAAAGGGGUAGUAGGGAUGGGGAGUCAUAUUGGUCAGGAGUCUGUGAGAGGUGAACAUUUUAAAAUAUGAUAGAAAGAACAUGCUAGUGGAAAAGUAAACAGACAUGGGUCCAGUUUAGAUAUGAGCAAGUAUGAAGACUUGCUGAAAGCAGAAGCGCAUAGGUCUAGCUAAAACAGGAGUAAACAGGUUGAAAAAAAGACACAUAGGUUCAAUCAAACAACGUACACAUGCAAUUGCAGUAAACAUAUAGGUUGAACAAAAGUAGACAUGCUAUUGUAGUAGAUACAUAGGUUUGAUUAAGCAGAAGAAAGGCAUGCUAAUUAUAAGGAAGCACAUAGUUUAAAUUGAAUAGCAUGAAACAUAUAGUCUACUUGAAUGGCAGUACACAUGCUGACUAGGAACAAUAAGCAUGAAGCACAUAGGUCUAGUUAAAGAUGGGCAAGCUGGUAUAAAGAUCCUAUUGAUUUAAUAACAUGAAAAUGGACAUGCUGGGAAUAGGAAAUACAUAAGUUAAAUCAUACAGAAGUUUGCACGAUAGUAAAGUGGGGGCAUACCAGUUAAGAAUUCAAAGUAGAAGAAUGAAGCAAACAAGGUCCAAAGGUCUAGCCCUGGCUUCCAGCCGGCUAGACAAUGUAGAAGCAAAGAGCAGAAGAUUAUGAUAGAGGAAGAGUACAAGAACUUUGUAUACUUUCUAUGUCUGUGUGUGUGUAUUGAACUAUUGUUCGUGUCUUUGAGAGGCAGAAUGAGAGUAUAUAUAACACUUAUGGAGUAGAACAAAUAAGGUAAAGAGAAUCAUAGUUCAAUCAAUUAGGGAUCAACCAACUAAUCACAAAAUCAAUUUCUAUAGGGAAAUCCGGGAAAGACUCCUUUAAUUGGGGAAUAAUCAAUUAACAGUUAUAACAGGGGUUCAAUUAAGGCAAUAAAUCAAAUUAAUACCAUGUAGGGAGUCAGUAAAAAUCCCCAAACUACUGUCAACUAAUUAAGGCAAGUAAGAAAAGAUAGGGAAGCAAGUAACAAAAUAAGGAAGCCAAUAAAAUCCCAACACACUAAUUUUAACAGGGCAAUUAUUAGGAAAUAAUCGGUAAAAAUCUUCAAAGAGUACUGAUUUCAUAGGAAAGAAUUAUUUGAGUCCUUAAAUGGGAAUCAACCAAGUAAGAAUGCCAAAGGGUUCUGAUUUUAACAAGAAAGAAGAUCGUUCAGAUCCUUAACAGAAAUUAAUCAAGUAAAAAAAUUCCACAAAAUACUAAUUUUAACAGGGAAAAUCAUUUAGGUCUCUAAAUAGAAUAAGUUAAUACGACUGGCUUAUAUAGAUAAACAUAAUAUCAAAACAGAAUUGAAGAAAUCAGUAUAACACAUAGAAUCAUCUAGGGUUUGAGCAUGCAUGUGAAAAUUAGUCAAGAUAGUGAAGAAACAAUUAAUAAAAACACUGAGAAGUUAGAAAUGUUUUUGAAGAAAAGUCCGGGAUGAACCCUAAUUUCAAAAAGAGUAAACGAAGUCGAAAUAAUUAAUUAAACCAAGAGAUUUUUAAAGAAAAACACCCAAUAAUACUCGAAUCACUUCAGAUCUAUAAAGAUCUUAGAAGAUUCGAACAGUAGUGAAACUAGGGUUUUUAGAAAAUAGUAGAGAUGAAGAGAAUCGAUCAAAAACCCGUGGAUUCGUACCAGAAACAAGAGGAAAUCCAUACUCACAAACAAAAAUGGCCUAAGAGACAAGCCGGUAAAAAACUUUCAAGCCAGAACAGGGUAGAUUUCCAUGAGAUCUUCUCAAGGACUUAUGAAAUCAAACAUCCAGAGGGUAUAGGAGACUGGUGGUGGUCGGAGAACGCACGAAAACACCAUAGAAGGGAUGUUCCUACCAGUGACGGCGAUUAGGGUUAGGGUGAGUUGAGAGAGAAUUGAAGAGAUGAGGGAUUCAAGGGUGGCAGAGUGUAAUAAAUGAGUAGGG
This 5643-nucleotide long non-coding RNA is filed under the name Nicotiana tabacum (common tobacco). RNAcentral's name for it is "long non-coding RNA (NTAB_LNC001513)". Lineage: Eukaryota; Viridiplantae; Streptophyta; Magnoliopsida; Solanales; Solanaceae. The record is from RNAcentral.